ACGUAGGGGGCAAGCGUUGUCCGGAAUUAUUGGGCGUAAAGAGCUCGUAGGCGGCUUAGUAAGUCGGCUGUGAAAUACCGGGGCUCAACCCCGUAACUGCAGUCGAUACUGCUGUGGCUAGAGUCUGGUAGAGGAGAAUGGAAUUCCCGGUGUAGCGGUGGAAUGCGCAGAUAUCGGGAGGAACACCAGUAGCGAAAGCGGUUCUCUGGGCCAGUACUGACGCUGAGGAGCGAAAGCGUGGGCAGCAAACAGGAUUAGAUACCCUGGUAGUCCACGCUGUAAACGUUGGGUACUAGGUGUGGCGAUCUGAUCAACGAUUGCCGUGCCGAAGCUAACGCAUUAAGUACCCCGCCUGGGUAGUACGGCCGCAAGGCUA
RNAcentral lists this ribosomal RNA (376 nucleotides) under uncultured bacterium. Its description in RNAcentral is "bacterial SSU rRNA". It matches the Rfam family "Bacterial small subunit ribosomal RNA", at positions 525 to 896 of the family's 1533-position model. The record is from RNAcentral.